CAGUCGCCGCGGUAAUACGUAGGUGGCAAGCGUUGUCCGGAAUUAUUGGGCGUAAAGCGAGCGCAGGCGGUUAGAUAAGUCUGAAGUUAAAGGCUGUGGCUUAACCAUAGUACGCUUUGGAAACUGUUUAACUUGAGUGCAAGAGGGGAGAGUGGAAUUCCAUGUGUAGCGGUGAAAUGCGUAGAUAUAUGGAGGAACACCAGUGGCGAAGGCGACUCUCUGGUCUGUAACUGACGCUGAGGAGCGAAAGCGUGGGGAGCGAACAGGAUUAGAUACCCCUGUAGUCCCUGUCUCUUAUACA
Molecule: ribosomal RNA, 301 nt
Filed under: uncultured bacterium
Lineage: Bacteria
Description: partial 16S ribosomal RNA
Rfam family: Bacterial small subunit ribosomal RNA
Source: RNAcentral